GGAUCCAGACUUUGAUUCUGGCUCACGAUGAACGCUAGCUACAGGCUUAACACAUGCAAGUCGAGGGGAAACGACAUCGAAAGCUUGCUUUUGAUGGGCGUCGACCGGCGCGCGGGUGAGUAACGCGUAUCCAACCUGCCCAUCACUUGGGGAUAACCUUGCGAAAGUAAGACUAAUACCCAAUGAUAUCUCUAGAAGACAUCUGAAAGAGAUUAAAGAUUUAUCGGUGAUGGAUGGGGAUGCGUCUGAUUAGCUUGUUGGCGGGGUAACGGCCCACCAAGGCAACGAUCAGUAGGGGUUCUGAGAGGAAGGUCCCCCACAUUGGAACUGAGACACGGUCCAAACUCCUACGGGAGGCAGCAGUGAGGAAUAUUGGUCAAUGGACGAGAGUCUGAACCAGCCAAGUAGCGUGCAGGAUGACGGCCCUAUGGGUUGUAAACUGCUUUUAUAAGGGAAUAAAGUGAGUCUCGUGAGACUUUUUGCAUGUACCUUAUGAAUAAGGACCGGCUAAUUCCGUGCCAGCAGCCGCGGUAAUACGGAAGGUCCGGGCGUUAUCCGGAUUUAUUGGGUUUAAAGGGAGCGUAGGCCGGAGAUUAAGCGUGUUGUGAAAUGUAGAUGCUCAACAUCUGCACUGCAGCGCGAACUGGUUUCCUUGAGUACGCACAAAGUGGGCGGAAUUCGUGGUGUAGCGGUGAAAUGCUUAGAUAUCACGAAGAACUCCGAUUGCGAAGGCAGCUCACUGGAGCGCAACUGACGCUGAAGCUCGAAAGUGCGGGUAUCAAACAGGAUUAGAUACCCUGGUAGUCCGCACGGUAAACGAUGGAUGCCCGCUGUUGGUCUGAAUAGGUCAGCGGCCAAGCGAAAGCAUUAAGCAUCCCACCUGGGGAGUACGCCGGCAACGGUGCAAC
This 908-nucleotide ribosomal RNA is filed under the name uncultured bacterium. RNAcentral describes it as "bacterial SSU rRNA". It matches the Rfam family "Bacterial small subunit ribosomal RNA", at positions 1 to 900 of the family's 1533-position model. RNAcentral also lists the same sequence under 1 other name. The record is from RNAcentral.